RNAcentral lists this ribosomal RNA (253 nucleotides) under uncultured bacterium. RNAcentral's name for it is "partial 16S ribosomal RNA". It matches the Rfam family "Bacterial small subunit ribosomal RNA", at positions 524 to 776 of the family's 1533-position model. The record is from RNAcentral.
UACAGAGACCUCAAGCAUUAUCCGGAUUUAUUGGGCGUAAAGGGUCCGCAGGUGGUCGUGCACGUCGAGGGUUAAAUGUACGGGCUCAACCCGUACACCGCUCUCGAUACGACAUGACUAGAGGGUGGGAGAGGUGAGCGGAAUUGCCGGUGUAGUAGUAAUAUGCGUUAAUAUCGGCAAGAACACCAAAUGCGUAGGCAGCUCACUGGAACACUUCUGACACUCAGGGACGAAAGCGUGGGGAGCGAAAGGG